Molecule: unclassified non-coding RNA, 22 nt
Filed under: Chlamydomonas reinhardtii
Lineage: Eukaryota; Viridiplantae; Chlorophyta; Chlorophyceae; Chlamydomonadales; Chlamydomonadaceae
Description: small RNA Cre_0418
Source: RNAcentral
AGACCAUUGGCAGUAGGCCAGU